UACGGAGGGAGCGAGCGUUGUCCGAAGUUACUGGGCGUAAAGCGCGCGUAGGCGGGGGAUUAAGUGAGAGGUGAAAGGCUGAGGCUUAACCUCAUGCAGUGCCUCUCAUACUGGUUCUCUUGAGGGCGGUAGGGAGAAGUGGAAUGGCUGGUGUAGCGGUGAAAUGCGUAGAUAUCAGUCGGAACACCGGUGGCGAAGGCGGCUUCUUGGGCCGUUCCUGACGCUGAGGCGCGAAAGCCAGGGGAGCGAACGGG
RNAcentral lists this ribosomal RNA (254 nucleotides) under uncultured bacterium. RNAcentral describes it as "partial 16S ribosomal RNA". It matches the Rfam family "Bacterial small subunit ribosomal RNA", at positions 524 to 776 of the family's 1533-position model. The record is from RNAcentral.